This 460-nucleotide ribosomal RNA is filed under the name uncultured bacterium. Its description in RNAcentral is "partial 16S ribosomal RNA". It matches the Rfam family "Bacterial small subunit ribosomal RNA", at positions 338 to 795 of the family's 1533-position model. The record is from RNAcentral.
CCUACGGGAGGCAGCAGUGAGGAAUAUUGGUCAAUGGACGAGAGUCUGAACCAGCCAAGUAGCGUGAAGGAUGACUGCCCUAUGGGUUGUAAACUUCUUUUAUAAAGGAAUAAAACGAGGCACGUGUGCCUUUCUGCAUGUACUUUAUGAAUAAGGAUCGGAUAACUCCGUGCCAGCAGCCGCGGUAAUACGGAGGAUUCGAGCGUUAUCCGGAUUUAUUGGGUUUAAAGGGAGCGUAGAUGGGUUGUUAAGUCAGUUGUGAAAGUUUGCGGCUCAACCGUAAAAUUGCAAUUGAUACUGGCAGUCUUGAGUACAGUUGAGGUAGGCGGAAUUCGUGGUGUAGCGGUGAAAUGCUUAGAUAUCACGAAGAACCCCGAUUGCGAAGGCAGCUUACUAAACUGUGACUGACAUUGAUGCUCGAAAGUGUGGGUAUCAAACAGGAUUAGAUACCCCGGUAGUC